RNAcentral lists this ribosomal RNA (479 nucleotides) under uncultured bacterium. Its description in RNAcentral is "partial 16S ribosomal RNA". It matches the Rfam family "Bacterial small subunit ribosomal RNA", at positions 355 to 849 of the family's 1533-position model. The record is from RNAcentral.
UGGGGAAUAUUGCACAAUGGGCGAAAGCCUGAUGCAGCAACGCCGCGUGAGUGAUGAAGGUCUUCGGAUUGUAAAGCUCUGUCUUUUGGGACGAUAAUGACGGUACCAAAGGAGGAAGCCACGGCUAACUACGUGCCAGCAGCCGCGGUAAUACGUAGGUGGCGAGCGUUGUCCGGAUUUACUGGGCGUAAAGGGUGCGUAGGCGGAUGUUUAAGUGAGAUGUGAAAUACCCGGGCUUAACUUGGGUGCUGCAUUUCAAACUGGAUAUCUAGAGUGCAGGAGAGGAGAAUGGAAUUCCUAGUGUAGCGGUGAAAUGCGUAGAGAUUAGGAAGAACACCAGUGGCGAAGGCGAUUCUCUGGACUGUAACUGACGCUGAGGCACGAAAGCGUGGGUAGCAAACAGGAUUAGAUACCCUGGUAGUCCACGCCGUAAACGAUGAGUACUAGGUGUAGGAGGUAUCGACCCCCUUCUGUGCCGC